Molecule: ribosomal RNA, 906 nt
Filed under: uncultured bacterium
Lineage: Bacteria
Description: bacterial SSU rRNA
Rfam family: Bacterial small subunit ribosomal RNA
Source: RNAcentral
AGAGUUUGAUCAUGGCUCAGGACGAACGCUGGCGGCGUGCUUAACACAUGCAAGUCGAACGGAAGUUACGAGGAAGCCUAGCGAAUUGUAACUUUAGUGGCGGACGGGUGAGUAACGCGUGGAUAACCUGCCUACAUGACCGGGACAACACCGGGAAACUGGUGCUAAUACCGGAUACGCUCACGAAUGCACAUGCAUAUGUGAGGAAAGGAGCAAUCCGCAGGUAGAUGGGUCCGCGUCCCAUUAGCUGGUUGGGGGUGUAAAAGACCACCAAGGCGACGAUGGGUAGCCGGCCUGAGAGGGUGGACGGCCACACUGGAACUGAGACACGGUCCAGACUCCUACGGGAGGCAGCAGUGGGGAAUCUUCCGCAAUGGGCGCAAGCCUGACGGAGCAACGCCGCGUGAGUGAAGAAGGCUUUCGGGUUGUAAAACUCUGUCUUCAGGGAAGAAAGAAAUGACGGUACCUGAGGAGGAAGCCCCGGCUAACUACGUGCCAGCAGCCGCGGUAAAACGUAGGGGGCGAGCGUUGCCCGGAAUUACUGGGCGUAAAGGGCGCGUAGGCGGUUUCUUAAGUCAGAGGUGAAAACUGUGGGCUCAACCCACAGCCUGCCUUUGAAACUGGGAGACUUGAGGGCAGGAGAGGGGAGUGGAAUUCCCAGUGUAGCGGUGAAAUGCGUAGAUAUUGGGAGGAACACCAGUGGCGAAGGCGGCUCUCUGGCCUGUUUCUGACGCUGAGGCGCGAAAGCGUGGGGAGCAAACGGGAUUAGAUACCCCGGUAGUCCACGCCGUAAACGAUGGGUGCUAGGUGUAGGAGGUAUCGACCCCUUCUGUGCCGUAGUUAACACAAUAAGCACCCCGCCUGGGGAGUACGGCCGCAAGGUUGAAACUCAAAUGAAUUGACGGA